This 406-nucleotide ribosomal RNA is filed under the name uncultured bacterium. RNAcentral's name for it is "partial 16S ribosomal RNA". It matches the Rfam family "Bacterial small subunit ribosomal RNA", at positions 30 to 526 of the family's 1533-position model. The record is from RNAcentral.
AUUGAACGCUGGCGGCAGGCCUAACACAUGCAAGUCGGGCGAGAGGCGGACGGGUGAGUAAUGUAUGGGGAUCUGGCUGAUGGCGGGGGAUAACUACUGGAAACGGUAGCUAAUACCGCAUUCCCUACGCUGAACCCAUAGCGGAUUAGCGAGUAGGUAAGGUAACGGCUUACCUAGGCGACGAUCCAUAGCUGGUCUGAGAGGAUGAUCAGCCAAACUGGGACUGAGACACGGCCCAGACUCCUACGGGAGGCAGCAGUGGGGAAUAUUGCACAAUGGGCGCAAGCCUGAUGCAGCCAUGCCGCGGGUAUGAAGAAGGCCUUCGGGUUGUAAAGUACUUUCAGUCGGGAGGCGUUACCGACAGAAGAAGCACCGGCUAACUCCGUGCCAGCAGCCGCGGUAAUAC